GGAAAAUGAGUUGGGGUUUGGAUCCAUCAAAAUUAGGGUGAAAAUUCAAGCACCAGUCUUGAGAUUAUGGGUUGAUGAAUUUCAGGGCGAAGACAUGUGGUGAAAUCCACAAAGUUGCCCCAGUUCUUUUUCUUUGGCAUACGGUUUUGUUUGGGAGAGGUAUUGGACAUGAAAAGGAUCGACUAAAAGGAUGACCCCAAUUGGUUUGAUUUUUUUUUUUUUUUUUGCAUGCUUCUGGCUAGUUGACAGGGAGAUCCCCUCUUCCUCAGACAUUACUUUUUUUCCUCUUUUGUUUUUUUGUUUUGUUUUUUUUUUUUACGACCUGUUGAAAGUCAUUUCGCCUUAUCGCAAAAAUUAAGCUUUAUGAAAAUUUGAGCAAACAUUAUCCAAUCUGUGUGGACUUUAUUAGGCUUGUAACGUGGCUAAGGGCUAAAAGGUAUUGAAAGAAAGGGUAUAAAGGCCCAAAUGAUUGUUUGUCGGUUAUAUGUUUUUGAAACAAGGGUUAUCAUCUAGGAAUUGCAUCAACUAUUUGACUUUUUAAGCACUUUGCUUUUUUCUUGAACUUUGAUUUUCAUCACUUUGUGAUUUCUUUUUGUUCUUUUUGUUUGUUUUGUUUUGUUCACUCUUUUUUAUGAAUUCUCUUCGUUUGAUCACUGAGCGUUCUUCAUUUUCAACAUGAGUUGACUCCUACCAGAUGACAACCCUUGCUUGGGGAUAAUUUUGAAAAAGAAAUUAUUUUUGGUUCAAACGGGGUGACAAUGGAUAUAUUUUACUUUUUUGAUAAAGAAAGAAGGUCACACAUCAUCUUGAAGUCUGAUUGCUUUAUUUUCAAAAGAUUAACUCUACGACUAGAUGACCUCAACAUAAGUCGUUUUAUCUUUUCUUUUGCUUUUUCCCUUCUAGACUGCCCUUUCAGGCUUUCAAUCUAGUGGACUUAUUCUUUUUCUUUUUGUUGUUUUUUUUUUGUCCCAAUGGAUUCAGGGAUCACCCUACUAGCGCAAGCGAGAAAACUUUUGGCCAGGCCAAUCUGCCCCGAGUGUAAAGGUUUACUUUAUUACUGAGGACAGUGAAUGUGUUUGUUGGGGAUGAUCCUUUAUUUUGGAAAAGUGACGGGUAAAGAUUUUCAAGCAACAUGCACACCAAUUUCUCGAGAGAAAACGUCAAAUUGUUAUCUUUGAUUAAACACUUGACCUCAGAAAAGCUUGACACCACCUUUGUUUUAUUUAUUCAUCAUUUUUUCUUUUCCUCCUUUUGUUUUUUUUUUCUAUUUUCGAAAAAUAAGAGUUUGAAAAUUUGCAAGAAAGACAAGAGACUCAAGAUUGCCUUCAUAUUUUGUUUUUCAAUUUUUUUUUAAAUUUUAUUAGAUGAAACAAAAAGAGAAAAAGAAAAGAGAAGACAAUGUAGUUCAAGUACUCUAGUUAGAAAUUAUAAAGCCAUGAAAACAUUGUCCCGGUAUAAUUUGGAAAUUAACACGAAACAGAGUCAAUAGGGUGGCCCAUCAUUCAGAAGGUCCCAAGAUGUGAGUCAUAAGAAGUCCCGGUCAACUAUCUUGGGGCCUUAACCAUAAGAUCUUUCAUUUCUCCCAUAGGUUUCUUGUAGUAAUUGAGGAAAGUUUCAAUCCCCUUAUGCAGGUUAAAUAUCGACACUGCAAACUCAGCAUCAGCUAAAAGCUUAGGGACGUCUUCACUGACUUCAUUGGUAAGGGAAGCUAGUUAUGAGAGGCUUCAUUUUCAAUUCGCCCUUGUUCAACAACAUGUUUCUUCAUUUGAAUUAUCAAUUCUUGAUGUCUCCUUUUUAGCUUGAUGCUAACCUUCCUUCUUCAGUUUUGCCAAUGCUGCUUUCACACGUUAUUCAAUUAUGAAAUUACUUUUCACCAUUUGGGUCAGGAGAAAUUAACUCGAGUGGUAACUUGAUUGUCGUAACCCUUUUUGUGAUCAAUUGGCUAAAGGAAUAUUUCAUUGACAGUCCAUGAUCUUUAGCCUUUCGUCGAAGCGAACAACAUUGCCCCCAAGCAUUCUUAACUUGAAGCAUUUCAGUAAAGGUUCCUCCCUCAGCAGAUUUGCGAUGUGGCAAGAGAUGUAGAUGUUGACGACCCUCUCACAGGAUGCCCGAAUUUUUUUUUUCCUCUUUUUUUUGUUGUUUUUUUUUUGUUGUUUUUUUUUUGACACACACACAACAAUGGAUACCCAUGAGGGGGACAUUAGGGUAAUUCUCACAACGGCGUGCGAUACAUGAUAUUUGUUGCCAAGAGACACACCAUUUAAACGUUUCCUCUUCUGAGCCUGCACAGAGCUGCGUUCAUUCAUUUGCCCCUUUCAUCUUUAGUUUAAUCAGAGUAGUUCCUAGGGGACAUAUGGCAUUCAAAGCACCCUUAUUCUGUUACCAAUGAGGAGUAUUGGUAAAACCUGAAUAUGAGUUUUAAUUCUGUUGCGUUAUACUCUUCGAAAAUUACCCCCUCCGAUACCAACAAUUGGUUGGUAUCAGAGCUUGCUUUGAUAGUUUUUCAAAAUAUUUGCGAAAAUGGCCGG
This 2528-nucleotide long non-coding RNA is filed under the name Vigna radiata. Its description in RNAcentral is "long non-coding RNA (VRAD_LNC012611)". The record is from RNAcentral. Lineage: Eukaryota; Viridiplantae; Streptophyta; Magnoliopsida; Fabales; Fabaceae.